CAGCAGCCGCGGGAAUACGUAGGUGGCAAGCGUUGUCCGGAAUUAUUGGGCGUAAAGGGCUCGCAGGCGGUUUCUUAAGUCUGAUGUGAAAGCCCCCGGCUCAACCGGGGAGGGUCAUUGGAAACUGGGAAACUUGAGUGCAGAAGGGGAGAGUGGAAUUCCACGUGUAGCGGUGAAAUGCGUAGAGAUGUGGAGGAACACCAGUGGCGAAGGCGACUCUCUGGUCUAUAACUGACGCUGAGGAGCGAAAGCGUGGGGAGCGAACAGGAUUAGAUACCCCGGUAGUCCCUGUCUCUUAUAC
This 301-nucleotide ribosomal RNA is filed under the name uncultured bacterium. RNAcentral describes it as "partial 16S ribosomal RNA". It matches the Rfam family "Bacterial small subunit ribosomal RNA", at positions 509 to 807 of the family's 1533-position model. The record is from RNAcentral.